Molecule: ribosomal RNA, 531 nt
Filed under: uncultured soil bacterium
Lineage: Bacteria
Description: bacterial SSU rRNA
Rfam family: Bacterial small subunit ribosomal RNA
Source: RNAcentral
GCUGGCGGCGUGCCUAACACAUGCAAGUCGAACGCGGUUACCCCGCAAGGGGUGACUGAGCGGCAAACGGGUGAGUAACACGUGGGUGACCUGCCUUCGAGUGGGGGAUAACGUUUCGAAAGGAACGCUAAUACCGCAUGACAUCCUGCCUUUGGACAGGCGGAGAUCAAAGCCGGGGAUCGUAAGACCUGGCGCUUGGAGAGGGGCCCGCGUCCGAUUAGCUAGUUGGUGAGGUAACGGCUCACCAAGGCGACGAUCGGUAUCCGGCCUGAGAGGGCGGACGGACACACUGGGACUGAGACACGGCCCAGACUCCUACGGGAGGCAGCAGUGGGGAAUUGUUCGCAAUGGGCGCAAGCCUGACGACGCAACGCCGCGUGGAGGAUGAAGGUCUUCGGAUUGUAAACUCCUGUUGAUCGGGACGAACAACCAUCGGGAUAACACCCCGGAGGUCUGACGGUACCGAUUGAGGAAGCCCCGGCUAACUCUGUGCCAGCAGCCGCGGUAAUACAGAGGGGGCAAGCGUUGUUC